RNAcentral lists this long non-coding RNA (376 nucleotides) under Physcomitrium patens. Its description in RNAcentral is "long non-coding RNA (PPAT_LNC005689)". Lineage: Eukaryota; Viridiplantae; Streptophyta; Bryopsida; Funariales; Funariaceae. The record is from RNAcentral.
UCCCAUUCUAUCUUUUUCUGCUUGCCAUGUUUUCUAUUUUGUGAUUAUUUCAACAAGGUAAUAACGUUUCUAAGAUAUUAAAUUUCAUCUACGCUGGUGAUUGCAAUCUCAAUGGCGUGGAUGCCAGUGGUAACGGGAGGGGUGGCGCUCAUGAGUACAAUCACAAAGUCGAAAUCCCACGCAGUUCUUUACUAUGGUGAGACCAUGAAUGAAUCGGUCGCGAUGCGUCGCGGUCCAGUCACCAAUUCGUGUGGAUUGAGGUCGAACUCGACCGCAAUGGACUACUCCAGCGUCGCCUAAGCCAUGCAAAGGGUAUCCUCGGAGACGUGGUUCCAGGUCUCCGAGGGGGGUUCAUAACACUCGCCAAUGAGCACUG